This 254-nucleotide ribosomal RNA is filed under the name uncultured bacterium. RNAcentral's name for it is "partial 16S ribosomal RNA". It matches the Rfam family "Bacterial small subunit ribosomal RNA", at positions 524 to 776 of the family's 1533-position model. The record is from RNAcentral.
UACGUAGGGGGCGAGCGUUGUCCGAAGUUACUGGGCGUAAAGCGCGCGUAGGCGGGGAAUUAAGUGAGAAGUGAAAGGCUGGGGCUCAACCUCAUGCAGUGCUUCUCAUACUGGUUCUCUUGAGGGCGGUAGAGAGAAGUGGAAUGGCUGGUGUAGCGGUGAAAUGCGUAGAUAUCAGUCGGAACACCAGUGGCGAAGGCGGCUACCUGGACCGGUUCUGACGCUGAGGCGCGAAAGCGUGGGUAGCAAACAGG